This 76-nucleotide transfer RNA is filed under the name Euryarchaeota archaeon ADurb.Bin009. RNAcentral describes it as "tRNA-Ile". It matches the Rfam family "tRNA". Rfam says of the family: Transfer RNA (tRNA) molecules are approximately 80 nucleotides in length. Their secondary structure includes four short double-helical elements and three loops (D, anti-codon, and T loops). The record is from RNAcentral. Lineage: Archaea; Methanobacteriati; Methanobacteriota.
UGGGCCCGUAGCAUAGCCGGUGGUGCACCCGGCUGAUAACCGGGAGGUCAUGCGUUCGAAUCGCAUCGGGCCCAUC